Molecule: ribosomal RNA, 521 nt
Filed under: uncultured bacterium
Lineage: Bacteria
Description: bacterial SSU rRNA
Rfam family: Archaeal small subunit ribosomal RNA
Source: RNAcentral
AACCUCCGCAAUGUGAGAAAUCGCGACGGGGGGAUCCCAAGUGCCAUUCUUAACGGGAUGGCUUUUCAUUAGUGUAAAGAGCUUUUGGAAUAAGAGCUGGGCAAGACCGGUGCCAGCCGCCGUGGUAACACCGGCAGCUCUAGUGGUAACAAUUUUUAUUGGGCCUAAAGCGUCCGUAGCCGGUUUAAUAAGUCUCUGGUGAAAUCCUGUAGCUUAACUGUGGGAAUUGCUGGAGAUACUAUUAGACUUGAGACCGGGAGAGGUUAGAGGUACUCCCAGGGUAGAGGUGAAAUUCUGUAAUCCUGGGAGGACCGCCUGUUGCGAAGGCGUCUAACUGGAACGGUUCUGACGGUGAGGGACGAAAGUUAGGGGCGCGAACCGGAUUAGAUACCCGGGUAGUCCUGGCCGUAAACGAUGUGGACUUGGUGUUGGAAUGGCUUUGAGUUGUUCCGGUGCCGAAGGGAAGCUGUUAAGUCCGCCGCCUGGGAAGUACGGUCGCAAGACUGAAACUUAAAGGAAUU